AGUGAACGCUGGCGGUAGGCCUAACACAUGCAAGUCGAACGGCAGCACAGUAAGAGCUUGCCCUUACGGGUGGCGAGGGGCGUACGGGGGAGGUAUACAUCGGACUUUACUUUUUCGUGGGGGAUAACGUAGGGAAACUUACGCUAAUACCGCAUACGACCUACGGGUGAAAGCAGGGGAUCUUCGGACUUCGGGCGAGUGAAUCAGCCGAUGUCGUAUUUGCUAGUUGGCGGGGUAAAGGCGCACUGAGGCGACGAUCCGUAGCUGGUCUGAGAGGAUGAUGAGCCACACUGGGGCUGAGACACGGUCCAGACUCCUAGGGGAGGCAGCAGUGGGGAAUAUUGGACGAUGGGCGCAAGCCUGAUCCAGCCAUGCCGCGUGGGUGAAGAAGGCCUUCGGGUUGUAUAACCCUUUUGUGGGUGUAGAACGGCUGCAAGUUAAUACCCCGCUGUUCUGACGGUACCCGAAGAAUAAGCACCGGCUAACUACGUG
RNAcentral lists this ribosomal RNA (492 nucleotides) under uncultured bacterium. RNAcentral's name for it is "partial 16S ribosomal RNA". It matches the Rfam family "Bacterial small subunit ribosomal RNA", at positions 29 to 507 of the family's 1533-position model. The record is from RNAcentral.